ACGUCUUCAUCUUUUAGAUGAAGGCCAAUUAGCUGUCACACUUCCAAGAAAAGCUCGAACUACUAAUAAACACCACGGACCUGUACCGUAAACCGACACAGGUGGGUUGGUAGAGUAUACCAAGGGGCGCGAGAUAACUCUCUCUAAGGAACUCGGCAAAAUAACCCCGUAACUUCGGGAGAAGGGGUGCCAAGUAACUCAAAAAUGCUUGGUCGCAGUGACCAGGCCCUGGCGACUGUUUAUCAAAAACACAGGUCUCCGCAAAGUCGUAAGACAACAUAUGGGGGCUGACGCCUGCCCAGUGCCGGAAGGUUAAAGAAGUUGGUUAUUCAUUUGUGGAGAAGCUGACGACUGAAGCCCCGGUGAACGGCGGCCGUAACUAUAACGGUCCUAAGGUAGCGAAAUUCCUUGUCGGGUAAGUUCCGACCCGCACGAAAGGCGUAACGAUCAGGGCACUGUCUCGGAGAGAGACUCGGUGAAAUAGACAUGUCUGUGAAGAUGCGGACUACCUGCACCUGGACAGAAAGACCCUAUGAAGCUUGACUGUAGCUUGGAAUUGGGUUCGGGCUCUUCUUGCGCAGCCUAGGUGGGAGGCGUUGAAAGUUUUCUUUCGGGAAAACUAGAGCCAACAGUGAGAGACCACUCUGGAGGAGCUAGAAUUCUAAUGGCGUUCCUUGAAGCAGGACGCUUGACAUUUUCAGGUGGGCAGUUUGACUGGGGCGGUCACCUCCUAAAAGGUAACGGAGGUGUGCAAAGGUUCCCUCAGGCUGGACGGAAAUCAGCCGUAGAGUGUAAAGGCAGAAGGGAGCUUGACUGCAAGACCUACAAGUCGAGCAGGGGCGAAAGCCGGCCUUAGUGAUCCGACGGUUCCAUGUGGAAGGGCCGUCGCUCAACGGAUAAAAGUUACUCUAAGGAUAACAGGCUGAUCUUCCCCAAGAGUUCACAUCGACGGGAAGGUUUGGCACCUCGAUGUCGGCUCAUCGCAACCUGGGGCGGUAGUACGUCCCAAGGGUUGGGCUGUUCGCUCAUGAAAGCGGUACGUGAGCUGGGUUCAGAACGUCGUGAGACAGUUCGGUCCAUAUCCGGUGUAGGCGUUAGAGCAUUGAGUGGAGCCUUCCAUAGUACGAGAGGACCUGGAAGGACGCACCUCUGGUAUACCAGUUAUCGUGCCAACGGUACACGCUGGGUAGCCAUGUGCGGAGUGGAUAACCGCUGAAAGCAUCUAAGUGGGAAGCCCACCUCAAGAUGAGUGCUCUCCAUUAGGUCACAGGAAGACAACCUGGUUGAUAGGCAGAAGGUGUAAGGCUAGUAAUAGUUUCAGCUGAUUUGUACUAAUAGACC
This 1341-nucleotide ribosomal RNA is filed under the name metagenome. Its description in RNAcentral is "bacterial LSU rRNA". It matches the Rfam family "Bacterial large subunit ribosomal RNA", at positions 1568 to 2910 of the family's 2925-position model. The record is from RNAcentral.